This 433-nucleotide ribosomal RNA is filed under the name uncultured bacterium. RNAcentral describes it as "partial 16S ribosomal RNA". It matches the Rfam family "Bacterial small subunit ribosomal RNA", at positions 29 to 507 of the family's 1533-position model. The record is from RNAcentral.
AACGAACGCUGGCGGCAUGCCUAACACAUGCAAGUCGAACGAGACCUUCGGGUCUAGUGACGCACGGGUGCGUAACGCGUGGGAACCUGCCCUUAGGUUCGGAAUAACUCCCUGAAAGGGGUGCUAAUACCGGAUAAUGUCUUCGGACCAAAGAUUUAUCGCCUUUGGAUGGGCCCGCGUUGGAUUAGCUAGUUGGUAGGGUAAAAGCCUACCAAGGCGACGAUCCAUAGCUGGUCUGAGAGGAUGAUCAGCCACACUGGGACUGAGACACGGCCCAGACUCCUACGGGAGGCAGCAGUGGGGAAUAUUGGACAAUGGGCGAAAGCCUGAUCCAGCAAUGCCGCGUGAGUGAUGAAGGCCUUAGGGUUGUAAAGCUCUUUUACCCGGGAUGAUAAUGACAGUACCGGGAGAAUAAGCUCCGGCUAACUCCGUG